RNAcentral lists this ribosomal RNA (686 nucleotides) under uncultured Mycobacterium sp. Its description in RNAcentral is "bacterial SSU rRNA". It matches the Rfam family "Bacterial small subunit ribosomal RNA", at positions 133 to 833 of the family's 1533-position model. Lineage: Bacteria; Bacillati; Actinomycetota; Actinomycetes; Mycobacteriales; Mycobacteriaceae. The record is from RNAcentral.
GCACUUCGUGAUAAGCCUGGGAAACUGGGUCUAAUACCGAAUAGGACCAUUUAGCGCAUGCUUUAUGGUGGAAAGCUUNUGCGGUGUGGGAUGGGCCCGCGGCCUAUCAGCUUGUUGGUGGGGUGACGGCCUACCAAGGCGACGACGGGUAGCCGGCCUGAGAGGGUGUCCGGCCACACUGGGACUGAGAUACGGCCCAGACUCCUACGGGAGGCAGCAGUGGGGAAUAUUGCACAAUGGGCGCAAGCCUGAUGCAGCGACGCCGCGUGGGGGAUGACGGCCUUCGGGUUGUAAACCUCUUUCAGCAGGGACGAAGCGCAAGUGACGGUACCUGCAGAAGAAGCACCGGCCAACUACGUGCCAGCGGCCGCGGUAAUACGUAGGGUGCGAGCGUUGUCCGGAAUUACUGGGCGUAAAGAGCUCGUAGGUGGUUUGUCGCGUUGUUCGUGAAAACUCACGGCUUAACUGUGAGCGUGCGGGCGAUACGGGCAGACUGGAGUACUGCAGGGGAGACUGGAAUUCCUGGUGUAGCGGUGGAAUGCGCAGAUAUCAGGAGGAACACCGGUGGCGAAGGCGGGUCUCUGGGCAGUAACUGACGCUGAGGAGCGAAAGCGUGGGGAGCGAACAGGAUUAGAUACCCUGGUAGUCCACGCCGUAAACGGUGGGUACUAGGUGUGGGUUUCCUU